Molecule: ribosomal RNA, 29 nt
Filed under: Orbilia bannaensis
Lineage: Eukaryota; Fungi; Ascomycota; Orbiliomycetes; Orbiliales; Orbiliaceae
Description: partial 18S ribosomal RNA
Source: RNAcentral
CAAAAAUCGGUUUCCUCAUCUGAUCUGAG